This 561-nucleotide ribosomal RNA is filed under the name Vibrio parahaemolyticus. RNAcentral's name for it is "partial 23S ribosomal RNA". It matches the Rfam family "Bacterial large subunit ribosomal RNA", at positions 2238 to 2798 of the family's 2925-position model. The record is from RNAcentral. Lineage: Bacteria; Pseudomonadati; Pseudomonadota; Gammaproteobacteria; Vibrionales; Vibrionaceae.
AUCUGGGGUGAGGACAGUGCCUGGUGGGUAGUUUGACUGGGGCGGUCUCCUCCCAAAGAGUAACGGAGGAGCACGAAGGUGGGCUAAUCACGGUUGGACAUCGUGAGGUUAGUGCAAUGGCAUAAGCCCGCUUGACUGCGAGAAUGACAAUUCGAGCAGGUGCGAAAGCAGGUCAUAGUGAUCCGGUGGUUCUGAAUGGAAGGGCCAUCGCUCAACGGAUAAAAGGUACUCCGGGGAUAACAGGCUGAUACCGCCCAAGAGUUCAUAUCGACGGCGGUGUUUGGCACCUCGAUGUCGGCUCAUCACAUCCUGGGGCUGAAGUCGGUCCCAAGGGUAUGGCUGUUCGCCAUUUAAAGUGGUACGCGAGCUGGGUUUAGAACGUCGUGAGACAGUUCGGUCCCUAUCUGCCGUGGGCGUUGGAAGAUUGAAGGGGGCUGCUCCUAGUACGAGAGGACCGGAGUGGACGAACCUCUGGUGUUCGGGUUGUGUCGCCAGACGCAUUGCCCGGUAGCUAAGUUCGGAAUCGAUAACCGCUGAAAGCAUCUAAGCGGGAAGCGAGCC